UAUUUUUUUCCCCACAUUUUCAAACUUUAAAUUUCCAAAAUGUUCAGGAAGAAAAUUCCAGUAAUUUCUUUAAAAAAUUCCCUUAAAAGUUUUAUUUAAAAAAAACAAAAACAAAACAAAACUCAAAUUUGGAAAGAAAAUUCUUAAAUAUUUUCAAAAAACGAGUAAAAAUCUCCCCAAAAAAAUCUUAAAAAUAUCUAAAGUGAUGACACAUACAUCAGUAAAACUUCUAUUUUCUUCAAGAACAUUCACAUAAAAAUAAAAAGAUUUUUUUUGUGAAUGUUCUUAAAGAAGCAUUUUUUAAACAUUUAUUUCGACCAAAAAAUUUUCAAAAAUUUCCCAAAAAUGUUGAAAAUGUGGACAUCAGAAGUUUCGCUGUGAAAAUAUUGGGUUUUUUUUCCCCACAUUUUCAAACUCUAAUGCAGGUCAAUUUGACCCACAGGACGACACGAGGGUUAAAAAUAAAAAAAGAACUUGCAACCAGAGGAACCGAUAUUAUCCCCAUCUGUUUGCAUUAUUUUGUUUUCACUCAGUGCUUCCUUAAUCGAUUCAUGUUGAAUUCUAACGUACAUGUCAACCUAAAAAGUGAUACAACAAACAUUUCAUGCUCCAAAAGAUCGUUGGUAAGUUCAGCGAAAUAAAGAUGAAUAGUUUCUUCAAGUUUUGGCUGCGAUGUCAUGAAAGGGAGAACGGCUGAGCCUGGUGUGCUUCAGCAAGAAAAAUUAAGCCUAAUAGUAGAUUUGACAUACGAGAAACUUGCUGGUAGGCGUCAAAACAGCAGGAAACCACAAUGGGAGGCACUGGCCAUUAGAGAAAUACUGUCCACACCCUGAGAGUUUUACUGUACUAAACACUCAGGGAUCAUGUGAUAUCAGUCAUAUCUUGCUUGUUUAAAGUAAAUCAGCACUGUCUUUUACGACGUCAUAGACAGUAGACUAAUUGGGAAGAUAGGAAACAUGACAACAGAAGAUUUACAGUACAAAGUUUGUGUUUUUGCAGCUGAACCUCUGGUUGAUCUGUAACCACCGUUUCUACUGGUGUCGACAUAUCGACUAUCUAGAACAGGGGUGUCAAACAUGAGGCCCGCGGGCCAAAACUGGCCCACCGGAGGGUCCAAUGCAGCCCGCAGGAUGACUUUAUGAAGAGUCAGAGAGAAGAUAUUAACUGCAAAUUAUAAAUAUGUAAAAUUUUUAAUGUAAAAUAAUUUGUAGACCAUGAUCAUGAAGUAAAAUAUUAGAUUUCUCAUUGUUCUUUUGUCAUUUUGUCUCAUUUUUCAUUUUUUUUGUCUGACUUGUCAUUUGUCUCAUGUUUUGUCAUUUUGUGUUUCCUUUUUGUCUCAUUUGGAAUUUUUGUCUAAUUUUGUGUUUUGUUUUAUUUGUUGUUUUGUGUAUGGUUUGUAUCAUUUUGUGGGGUUUUUUUUUGUUACAUUUACACAUUACAACUUCCAGAUCACAGUUUAUCUACAAAGGUACAAAACAUUUAGUCACAGCUAUCUGGAACUGAAUGAUGUAGUAUUUUACUUUAUAAUUUUAUGAAAAUGACAAAAGUCAGACAAAAAAAAAGACAAAAAAGACAACAAAAACAAGACAAAAUAUUACAAAAAUCAGACGCAGAACAACAAAAACGAGACACAAAAUGACAAAAAAAUGAGACAAACGACACCAAACAAAACAAAAAAGAGACAAAAAAAUUAGACAAAAAAUUACAAAGCGACAAAAAAUGGACAAAUGACAAAAACGAGACAAAAAAAUUACACAAAUGAUACAAACAAGACCAAAAAUGACAAACGCGAGAAACAAAACAACAAAGAAGUAGACAAACAACACAAGUGAGACAAAAACAACACAAAACGACUAAAAUGAUAGAAAACAUCGAAUAAAGCAAAACACAAAAUGACAAAAAUAAGAAAAAAACACAAGUGAGACAAAAAGGAAACACAAAACGAAAAAAACGAGAAACAAAAUGACAAAAACAUGAGACAACAAAAGUCAGACAAAAAAACACAACAAAAACAAGACAAAAUAUUACAAAAAUCAGACGCAAAAUGACAAAAUGAGACACAAAAUGACCAAAAAAAAUGAGACAAACGACACCAAACAAAACAAAAAAAUUUGACAAAAAAAUUUGACAAAAAAAUUACAAAAUGACAAAAACAUGAGACAAACAAAAGUCAGACAAAAAAACAACAAAAACAAGACAAAAUCUUACAAAAAUGAUACACAAAAUGACAAAAAAUUUGACAAAAAAGGAACAAAAAGCAUAAGACAAAAGGAAACACAAAACAAGAAGAAUGUGAGAAAAGACAAAAGUCAGACUAAAAAAGACAAAAAACUGUGAAAACAGGACAAACUAUCACAAAAAUGAGACAUAAAAUGACCACAUAACAAUGAACAAUCUAGUAUUUUACUUUAUGAUCAAAACAACUUGUCAUGGUCUAGAAAUUCUUUUAAAUUUAUAGUUUUACAAAUUUACAAUCUGCAGUUAAUGUCUUCUCUGGAAUUUUUACACUUUGAGGGCCAGAUUGGACCCUCUGGAGGGCCGGUUUUGGCCCGCGGGCCACAUGUUUGACACCCCUGAAUUAGAUUAAAGUUAGUGGAAAGAUUAAUUAGAAAAUGCUCACGUUGGGGGUUUGAGGAGUCACAAGAAUGCAGAAGAGCCGUAGCAGGAAAAUUUAUGGGAGUAAGAUCAAUGGAGAGUACAGUGUGUUUUCUCUGUGUGUUUCACAGAAACCAUUCGAUAUACAGGGAAGCAAACAGGCCCUGUUCUGAAUGCAAAUGAACAAUGAAGUCACCACACCAGAAGAGGCAAAACUCUGCAGCCAUUCAGCCAUUAGUCUUUAUCAUGGAGUGCAGGAACCUCUUCAGCUAAUUCAGUUAGUUUAAGUCAUAUUUCAAAAGCUGUGGCAGGACGGUGCAAAGGCUCUACAGCAGCUGAGUAAAUUACCCACAGAGCAUUAUGCUCAAGUGAUUUAUUCAACUCGAGAGCUAAAGCUUCUGCUAAAGCUGUGCCGCUUCUGCUUCGUCAUCAGUUUGAUUUCUGUCUGAUUUCAGUCACACUACACUGUAAAAAAUGUUUGUGUAUUUUACGGUGAAAAACUGUCAAACCAUGACGGUAAAAAUCUGUAAACUCUAAAACAGCUUGAUGCCAUUUAUAUAACAUUGAAUCACCGUAAAUAGGUUAAUCAGGAGAAAAGUGUGUCUUUUAGAUUUUUUCUUUUGAAAAAAAUACAUUUCCUGACUCCUGCACAGUUUUUCAUGGAAAAAUGCCAUCAUAUGUGUAAUAAUACUGUCAUUUUUGCAUUUAAUUCUUGAAAAGAAUACAGUUUUUCCCAGUUAAAUGUACAUAUUGUUGUACUGGAAACAUGCUGUAAUAUUUAUUUAACAAAUAACAUGGCAAUUUCUGCAUUUAAUACUUGUAAAAAAUACAGUUAGUUACUUUUGUGUUAAUAACGGACAAAUGUUUUAAUAUUCUUGACAGCUUUAAUCGCAAUUUUUACUAAAAAUCCAUAUAUUUAAUGUUAAAUACGUUAAAAAUUGUGCUGAUAACUGAAAAAUGCUGUAAUAUUUAUAAGCUACACAAACUUUAUUUUAUAUAAUAUUUUAAGUCAAUUUUAACAUUUUUAAGGUUAAAAAUAUAAUAAAGUAAAAUAUGGAAUGAAGCACGUUUUUAAACCCUAAAAUCAACAACAUCAAUGCAUUUCUUUACCGUAAAUGUAGAAAAUGCUUUACUGUAAUUUUACAGUAGCAUUCUGGCCAGAACUUUAAUAUACAAACAAUUUUUUACAGUGCACUGUAAAAAAUGUUUGACUCCUGCACAGUUUUUAAUGGAAAAAUGCUGUAAUAUGUAGAACAAUACUGUCAUUUUUUGCAUUUAAUUCUCUAAAAGAACAGAGUUUUUCCCAGUUACAUGUACAUAUUGAUGUACUGGUAAUGGAAACAUGCUGCAAUAUUUAUAACAAGUAACAUGGCAAUGGAAAAAAUACAGUUUGUACUGGUCAAAUUGAUGUAGUUUUGUGUUAAUAACAGACAUAUGCUUUAAUAUUUAUGACAACAUUAACUGCAAUCUGGGAAAAACUGCAUUCCUUUCAAGAAUUAAAUGAAAAAUGAUGAUGAUGGGAAAUGUAUUUUUUCAAGAGAAAAAAAUCUCAAAAACACACUUUUCUCCUGAUUAACCUGUUUAUGGUGAUUCAGGGUUAUAUAAACGGCAUCAAGCUGUUUUAGAGUUUACAGAUUUUUACCGUCAUGGUUUGACAGUUUUUUUCACUGUAAAAUGUACGAACAUUUUUUACAGUGUAAAUCAGAUUUAUGAACAUGUUAAAGCUCUAUCUCUGUCUCUGUCUGUCCGUGGGUCACAGACACAUCGAUAUGUACAUUACCAUCUGUCACCUUCAUCCUCGCUGAGGGAUUUGAAAGUGCUGAGUGUGGUCUAAUCCACAGCCCUCAUCUUAGUGAGCGACGCCGCAUAACCAACCUGGCAUUUACUGCCUUCACACCACCAACUCCUGUGGCCCAACUCAUGUUGACGGGCCAGUCAUACGGUGUCAUUGUGAGAAUCUCAAUCUUGUGUGUGUCUUCAUCUCAUCUAAAAGACUAAUCGUCUUCAAGACUACAGAAUCUACUGCACCAAAUUGCUCUAAAAUGGCUGAAGCUGAUGGAGCAGAGGGCAGCCAAGACCUGGAGGCUCCAGCGGAUAACGAGCUGGAUGACGAAUACAGAGCCUUGCUGCAUUUCGGCAAAUACAACGAAGCUCGACGUGCGCUGCCUCGGGAGCAGUGGACCUCCAGGGAAAAGGCAAACUAUUACUUAGACCGCUUCUUCCUGGGGUUUUUGGUCCUUUUUUCGCUCGUGUUGCUGGGAGAAUGUUGCUAUAAAAUGUGGUAUGUGACAAACGUGAAGAAGAUCGUGGAGUUCGUGUCAGAUUCUGUGAUCUUUUUGUUCGACUGGCUCCUCAAACAGGAGCGACACGAGGAGCUGGCCGAGUUGUAGGUCGUCGAAGAAGUCGAUUCCAUUGUUGGGUCACCACUUUUCGGAGGUCUUCUAUAACAUUUAAAGCACACGUGGUAUCACAGCUCCUCACUAAAUAAUCCAUUUAUAGCUACAGCUUAACGAGAGGAAAUGACUGGACAUCCUCCAUACUCCAUACUUUCUGUUAGUGACUUGAUGGAAAUAAACACAAUAAUAUGCAA
This is a long non-coding RNA of Amphiprion ocellaris (clown anemonefish), 5185 nucleotides long. RefSeq lists it as uncharacterized. The record is from RefSeq and is a predicted model, not a curated record. The transcript is spliced from 2 exons. Lineage: Eukaryota; Metazoa; Chordata; Actinopteri; Pomacentridae.